AUGAACGCUGGCGGCGUGCCUAAUACAUGCAAGUCGAGCGAACAGACGAGGAGCUUGCUCCUUUGACGUUAGCGGCGGACGGGUGAGUAACACGUAGGUAACCUACCUAUAAGACUGGGAUAACUUCGGGAAACCGGAGCUAAUACCGGAUAAUAUUUCGAACCGCAUGGUUCGAUAGUGAAAGAUGGCUUUGCUAUCACUUAUAGAUGGACCUGCGCCGUAUUAGCUAGUUGGUAAGGUAACGGCUUACCAAGGCAACGAUACGUAGCCGACCUGAGAGGGUGACCGGCCACACUGGAACUGAGACACGGUCCAGACUCCUACGGGAGGCAGCAGUAGGGAAUCUUCCGCAAUGGGCGAAAGCCUGACGGAGCAACGCCGCGUGAGUGAUGAAGGUCUUCGGAUCGUAAAACUCUGUUAUUAGGGAAGAACAAACGUGUAAGUAACUGUGCACGUCUUGACGGUACCUAAUCAGAAAGCCACGGCUAACUACGUG
This 496-nucleotide ribosomal RNA is filed under the name uncultured bacterium. RNAcentral describes it as "partial 16S ribosomal RNA". It matches the Rfam family "Bacterial small subunit ribosomal RNA", at positions 29 to 507 of the family's 1533-position model. The record is from RNAcentral.